ACCGAGCCGGAGAGCAAUGGUGGCCUCUUCAUACAUAGUGUCAUAGGCCCUGUCUCUGCAAUGUAACGUGGAGAGCUGAGAAAAUCAAAGAGUGCGCUUGUUUUCUGAUAUAAAUUGAAGCGGAACAGCUGCGGCCCGGUGAUAUAGUGGGAAAGACACGAAUGCUAUUUGAGGAAACCCAUUGCAGAGUUACGGUUAAGUCCAGUCCAACUGUCUGGCUCCGGCACUGCCAGCCAUCAGAGAGAAGUGAGAAGCGCUGUGCACAGAGCACGAGUCGGGGCCAACCAGCAUGCCAAGAAAAGUAAAGAGCCUUGGCUGCACCUCAAAUAAUCCGAAAAAGAUUGCAUGGCAUUAAAGCUGCAAGUGCGAACUCACAACAGCGAUGGGCAGCGUCACAUCACAGCACUUUCCCGUUGAGCCUCGGCUCCCAUUGCGAGAGCAAGUCUUACUGGGUCUCUCCGUGUUUCUUUCCCUCCCCGUCUUUCGUUCGCUCUUUUUCCCAGGGACACAUACUGUAACUGGCGCAACUACGCCACUCAGUUGCUGUUUCGUUUACUUUAUGGGGUGUAGCUGAGAUCUGUACCAUACCACCGUAUAUUAAAGGGAUCUUAUAAA
Molecule: long non-coding RNA, 615 nt
Organism: Amblyraja radiata (thorny skate)
Lineage: Eukaryota; Metazoa; Chordata; Chondrichthyes; Rajiformes; Rajidae
Exons: 2
Source: RefSeq, a predicted model, not a curated record